This 274-nucleotide ribosomal RNA is filed under the name uncultured bacterium. Its description in RNAcentral is "partial 16S ribosomal RNA". It matches the Rfam family "Bacterial small subunit ribosomal RNA", at positions 523 to 796 of the family's 1533-position model. The record is from RNAcentral.
CUACGGGGGGUGCAAGCGUUGUCCGGAAUCAUUGGGCGUAAAGGGUUCGUAGGUGGAAUUAUAAGUCUGGUGUGAAAGCCCACAGCUCAACUGUGGAACUGCACUGGAUACUGUUUUUCUUGAGUUAUAGAGGGGUUUGUGGAAUUUCUGGUGUAGAGGUGAAAUUUGUAGAGAUCAGAAAGAACACCGGUGGCGAAGGCGACAAACUGGCUAUUAACUGACACUGAGGAACGAAAGCGUGGGGAGCGAACAGGAUUAGAAACCCUAGUAGUCC